Molecule: ribosomal RNA, 253 nt
Filed under: uncultured bacterium
Lineage: Bacteria
Description: partial 16S ribosomal RNA
Rfam family: Bacterial small subunit ribosomal RNA
Source: RNAcentral
GACGUAGGGGGCAAGCGUUGUCCGGAAUCAUUGGGCGUAAAGCGCGUGUAGGCGGUCCGGUAAGUCCGCUGUGAAAGUCGGGGGCUCAACCCUCGGAUGCCGGUGGAUACUGUCGGGCUUGAGUACGGAAGAGGCGAGUGGAAUUCCUGGUGUAGCGGUGAAAUGCGCAGAUAUCAGGAGGAACACCAAUUGCGAAGGCAGCUCGCUGGGACGUUACUGACGCUGAGACGCGAAAGCGUGGGGAGCAAACAGG